UUCCACUCUUCUCCAUCUCAAAUACGAUUUUGAAGCCCUACAUACCCAUGGAUGAAAUCAAAGAAUGGCGUCUUUCACAACCAUUCUUCAGCCGCGCCAGUGAGUUUUGCAGCCACAACGAACUGGUUUCGGCGACAUGUGUUUAGUUGGUGAAAAAGUGAGGAUGCUACAAAGAAGACUCUGAUUAGUGACCAAGUCUUUCAAAUUUGAGAGUUGCUUGUUGUGACAGGAAAACAAAAUUGAAAGUUGGGGAAGGAGGCUUUGAAUUUGCAGAAAAAGGUUAGUCUAUAGUUUAGUGUUAAAAAGAAGUUUCAAAGAUUAUAUUUGGCAAUUGCAUUCUUUCCAUUUACAUGAAUUGUGUUAUAGCCAUGUCAACGAGAACGUUCAAGUAAUUACGAGCACCAAACUGCUACUUCAAUACUUUCAAACAUAAUAAUGAUUUAUUCUUUGGGUGUCACGAGAUGGCUGCCUUUAAUCUUUUUCCUUAGCUUAUGUGAUAUUGCAUGAAUGUUUUGAUUGCAUUUGCAUUGUUGGGGAAAACUAGGAGUGGAGGAUGGUGUACCAAAUGAAAUGUAGGUGACCAAAUCAUGAUUUUCCAAGCUUUAGAUCAGCAUGUCUUUUUUCUUAUCAUUGCUGCCCGUGAUUCAUACUUAUUAGUAAAGCAUUUGAAAUCUAAAGUUAUGUUGUUUGUGAAUUGUGAUAGAUAUAGAAAUUACAAAAAAGACUAACAACAUUUUUUUUGUAGUUAAAAAGUUUAGAUAUGAAACAAAAGGAAUGCCCUGCUAUAGACAGGAAGUAGGGAGAAACUAGAAUGUCAGUGAACAUUUUUUUUACAUUCUAUUUCAACAUCUAGCCAUGCAGUUUGAUGUUUUUUUUCCUUGUAUAUGUUGACAUACUUAUACAUUGGAAUGAUUGUUGUGUUACAUGAAUACAUGCUAUAUGUUAAAUGGAUUGAGUUCUUCUUUUGUGAAUGCCGCAUGAGGUCUUUACAAAACCAAAAAUCAAUUCAUACGGGAGAAUGAAUAUUGCAUAUCCUUUUGUUGUGUUUAUCUUUCGUUAUUAGUCACAUAAUUGUUUCAGGUUCAAUAUAAAUACGGAAGGUGUAUGAUUUCAUUUAAUUUGACUUCCUAUGCCUAAUUGUAAUUUAUUGUUGUUUUUAUCUUCCUCAUUCCAUUUUUAGUCAGCCACAUCACUAUGUUAUGUUUAUCAUUUUCUUUAAAAGUAGGAACCAUGUUUGUUAUGUUUACAUUCCUGAUUCAAGGGGUGCUCUUGUCAAAAGGAAAUUUGCAACUCGUUUUAGUAAGCUUUCUUUUUUUUUGUUAAGGAUUUUUUUCCUAAACUUAUUAGUUAUUUUAUUUGUUGCUCUUUUAUUACGAUGGUUAGUUUACGUAAGUGAGAAUUGUUCACAUUGGAUUGAGAUGCAAUAAUACCUAUAUCUAAGUUUUUCUCAUUACGUUUUAUGAUGAGUGCUUGUACAAGCUUGAUUUCUUGAUACUUUAUCAAGUCUCUACUGCAGUACUGCAUUUACCUGUAUUUGUUUGCUUUUCAUGUAAUAAAAAUUAACUCAUCGUAUCCAAUGUCCUAUAUUUAUUCCUUUUUUGGGUAUGCUUACUUAUUUCCUGUCCCUAAUGGAUAUCUUCUUAAUUUAUAAUAUUCUAAAACAAUCUAGACAAUCAGAGGAAGAUUUAAAGUGAGAAAUGUAAAUAAUAUAUGGAAUCCUUAAUGUUGUUAUAUAAGGUCUAGAAUGUGAAUUUGAUGGUAUAUAAAUUUUACCUUUGUUGUUCCCCAUGGCUCACACAAGCAUGUUCUGUAGUUGUGCUUGUAUUAUUUUUAAUCAAUAUUUGGGAUCUAAUUGCAAGCAACAUGUACUGCUUUUCUGAUAUAGCUUUAUAUGGUUUCAAUACAUUGAUAUUCAGUAAAUUUAAAUUAUAUUAAUAUGCUUCCUUGUAAUUUUUAUUGUAAUAUCUUUGGUUCAAAAGAAAACUUAUUUACCAUAGCUAUCAAAAAAAUAAGAUAAUAAUACAGUAUCCGCCAAGGAGGAAGAAGUAAGUGAUUGAGUCAUAGUGUACACUAUAUAGUUCUUACAUUUUGUGAAUCAUAGUGUGAAUAGUUUCCUCUUUGGUAGAAAGGUUGGCGAAUUGAUAUCUAAUUUCUCCGGAUGGUACACCAUAUAGUUCUUGCAUUUUGUGAAUUCUCACUUAUUUUUCCGUGACAGAGCAUCAAGCAGUUUUUUGUUGCAGUAGAAAGAGAGGAAUGAAAGUUCGACACUCUUUGUGUACCCUUACAAUAGAGCAGGCUGUGACCUUCUGCAAUAAGAAAUGAAAGAUAAUUUCUUUUGUUAAAUCUGCAUUCCUAUGUUGAAUCUGUUAACUAAAGGGUAGUCAUAUGCAAUGUUUUUUCUUUAUGGUACACAAUAGUUAUGAGCCAAGAGAAUAAAUUAGGCAAGUAUUUUUAUGCUCGCCUUUUAUUUGUAUCAGAUUGAUUGGCCCUCUUGAAAAAUACAUGAGAAUAGCUUCACCAUUUUAUCCAUGCAUGGGAUAUGCCUCAAAAGGAAUUAGAUGCAUUAUGAAUGAAUUUCGGUCUGGACAAACCUAAGUUCUUAUCACAACAGAUGUUUGGGCUAGAGGACUGGAUGUUCAGCAGGUGACACAUUUUUCCUUGUCAAGGUCUUCGUUACAUUUGCCUGAGUCCCGGACACACCACUUAUUUUUCCAACAAUUGUUGGGGCGACUUCCAUUCGCGACGUUGUUGGUGAAGAUCCUAUUAAGUGGAACUACAAGGAUGCUUGGAUAUACUUUCAUACCUUUCAUUUAUUGAACUCCAAAACUUCAAAGAAAUAUUACUUAAACUAAACCUCCUUCUGUUGGUAAUUGCAGCUCAUGCACUACCCCUGAAGCAUAUCAACCGAUUCCUUAAUGUUUUGCCCCCGUUUGCCUUAUGGAUUGGAUGCUGUAGAUGUGUUUGGAUGGUAGGUUGUUACGGCUAUGUGAAAUACCUAUGGAAUAGAUGCAUAGACAUUUGGAGUUAUCUUUUGUGUGGUGAGAAUUGUUGCUAUGGAUUGAUGGAUUUCUCCACUUGCUUAUUACUAGGUUGGAUGUUUAAAAUGCUUGCGUUUUGCGGUACAUAAUAUCGAAGUGAAGAUGUUGCUAGGAUUUUUUGAUGGGUUACUUUAUUUUGUUGUUCAGUGGUGGACAUCGACUAGUAAAUAUUGUUAUGCUAAUAUCCUAUGUUGUGAUCCCCUAAUAGUGUUUAUUGUUUGCAAUUAUGGCCAAUCGUAAUAUUUAUAGCAUGGUUGUAUACAAAAUUUC
This is a long non-coding RNA of Andrographis paniculata, 3308 nucleotides long. RefSeq lists it as uncharacterized. The transcript is spliced from 4 exons. Lineage: Eukaryota; Viridiplantae; Streptophyta; Magnoliopsida; Lamiales; Acanthaceae. The record is from RefSeq and is a predicted model, not a curated record.